This 465-nucleotide ribosomal RNA is filed under the name Ototyphlonemertes duplex. RNAcentral's name for it is "partial 28S ribosomal RNA". Lineage: Eukaryota; Metazoa; Nemertea; Enopla; Monostilifera; Ototyphlonemertidae. The record is from RNAcentral.
AAUAGUACGUGAAACCGCUUAGAGGUAAACGGGUGGAGUCGCAAAGUGGUCCGGAUAGAUUCAACCGUUCGAACGAGGUCUGCGACGGAGUGUUCCAUCAGAUGCUAAUCAUACGCACUGGCUUCGUCGUCUUCCAUUGGACCUUCGCCGAUCGGCGCACUUCUUUCCGGACAGCGUCACGACCGAUUCGGUUUUCACGCCGGUCAAAAGCUACGCGGGAAGGUGACUCCGACUUCGGUGGGAGUGUUAUAGUCCGCGCUAGCGUCGGCCGGUGCCGGAUCGAGGAAUGGCCGUACCCGCUUUCACGAGCACGGGUCCUCGCUCGACGUCCGUCGUUCCGCAUAUCGACUGGGCUGGACUGUUUACAGUGCUGUCCGACCGCGAUGGGCGUACGAGUUCGAGUGCACAUCAACUCCCGAGUGGUACACAAGGUCAGUGGCGAGUGGUCGGCAAUCCACCCGACCU